UCCCAGACUCCUACGGGAGGCAGCAGUGAGGAAUAUUGGUCAAUGGGCGCGAGCCUGAACCAGCCAAGUCGCGUGAGGGAGGACGGCCCUACGGGUUGUAAACCUCUUUUGCCGGGGAGCAACGGGCGUCACGUGUGGCGUCACUGAGAGUACCCGGAGAAAAAGCAUCGGCUAACUCCGUGCCAGCAGCCGCGGUAAUACGGAGGAUGCGAGCGUUAUCCGGAUUUAUUGGGUGUAAAGGGCGUGUAGGCGGGACUGCAAGUCAGAUGUGAAAAUUAUGGGCUCAACCCAUAACCUGCAUUUGAAACUGUAGUUCUUGAGUGAUGGAGAGGCAGGCGGAAUUCCGUGUGUAGCGGUGAAAUGCGUAGAUAUACGGAGGAACACCAGUGGCGAAGGCGGCCUGCUGGACAUUAACUGACGCUGAGGCGCGAAAGCGUGGGGAGCAAACAGGAUUAGAUACCCUUGUA
This 467-nucleotide ribosomal RNA is filed under the name uncultured bacterium. RNAcentral's name for it is "partial 16S ribosomal RNA". It matches the Rfam family "Bacterial small subunit ribosomal RNA", at positions 329 to 792 of the family's 1533-position model. The record is from RNAcentral.